RNAcentral lists this ribosomal RNA (510 nucleotides) under Triticum aestivum (bread wheat). Its description in RNAcentral is "partial small subunit ribosomal RNA". The record is from RNAcentral. Lineage: Eukaryota; Viridiplantae; Streptophyta; Magnoliopsida; Poales; Poaceae.
AUGCAUUGCGAUGACGGAGGAGAAUUUCUCACCUCCUCCCUCCGCACGCUUUUUUCCACCCUCGGCGCCUCAUUCCGCCUCUCCUGUCCUCACACGUCACCCCAAAACGGCAAGGUUGAACGGCUUCUUCGCACAACAAGCGACAUCCUCCGCGUCAUGCUCAUCCACGCAAACCUUCCGCCGCAGUUCUGGGUUGAGGCCCUUCACACUGACACCCACGUCCUCAAUCGUCGUCCCUCCUCUGCCAUCCAGAACGACACACCCCACCUUCGCCUAUUCGGCCACCACCCCACGUACGAUCAUUUACGUGUUUUUGGGUGCCUCUGUUUCCCUAACACAUACGCCACCAGCCCACAUAAACUUGCCCCACGCUCGGUUCGCUGCGUUUUCCUAGGAUACGCUCUCGAACACAAAGGCUAUCGGUGCCUGGAUCUCACUUCGCGACGCGUUAUCAUCUCUAGGCACGUUACGUUUGAUGAACAAACCUUUCCCUAUUCUUCCCCCGCACGU